Molecule: ribosomal RNA, 492 nt
Filed under: uncultured bacterium
Lineage: Bacteria
Description: partial 16S ribosomal RNA
Rfam family: Bacterial small subunit ribosomal RNA
Source: RNAcentral
AGUGAACGCUGGCGGUAGGCCUAACACAUGCAAGUCGAACGGCAGCACAGUAAGAGCUUGCUCUUACGGGUGGCGAGUGGCGGACGGGUGAGGAAUACAUCGGAUUCUACUUUUUCGUGGGGGAUAACGUAGGGAAACUUACGCUAAUACCGCAUACGACCUACGGGUGAAAGCAGGGGAUCUUCGGACCUUGCGCGAUUGAAUGAGCCGAUGUCGGAUUAGCUAGUUGGCGGGGUAAAGGCCCACCAAGGCGACGAUCCGUAGCUGGUCUGAGAGGAUGAUCCGCCACACUGGAACUGAGACACGGUCCAGACUCCUACGGGAGGCAGCAGUGGGGAAUAUUGGACAAUGGGCGCAAGCCUGAUCCAGCCAUACCGCGUGGGUGAAGAAGGCCUUCGGGUUGUAAAGCCCUUUUGUUGGGAAAGAAAAGCAGCAGGUUAAUACCCCGCUGUUCUGACGGUACCCAAAGAAUAAGCACCGGCUAACUUCGUG